RNAcentral lists this ribosomal RNA (440 nucleotides) under uncultured bacterium. RNAcentral describes it as "partial 16S ribosomal RNA". It matches the Rfam family "Bacterial small subunit ribosomal RNA", at positions 338 to 795 of the family's 1533-position model. The record is from RNAcentral.
CCUACGGGUGGCAGCAGUGGGGAAUAUUGCACAAUGGGGGAAACCCUGAUGCAGCGACGCCGCGUGAAGGAAGAAGUAUUUCGGUAUGUAAACUUCUAUCAGCAGGGAAGAAAAUGACGGUACCUGACUAAGAAGCCCCGGCUAACUACGUGCCAGCAGCCGCGGUAAUACGUAGGGGGCAAGCGUUAUCCGGAUUUACUGGGUGUAAAGGGAGCGUAGGCGGCGAUGCAAGUCAGAAGUGAAAGCCCGGGGCUCAACUCCGGGACUGCUUUUGAAACUGUGUUGCUAGAGUGCAGGAGAGGUAAGUGGAAUGCCUGGUGUAGCGGUGAAAUGCGUAGAUAUUAGGAGGAACACCAGUGGCGAAGGCGGCUUACUGGACUGUAAAUGACGCUGAGGCUCGAAAGCGUGGGGAGCAAACAGGAUUAGAUACCCGGGUAGUC